UACGUAGGGUCCGAGCGUUGUCCGGAAUUAUUGGGCGUAAAGGGCUCGUAGGCGGUUUGUCACGUCGGGAGUGAAAACUCAGGGCUCAACCCUGAGCGUGCUUCCGAUACGGGCAGACUAGAGGUAUGCAGGGGAGAACGGAAUUCCCGGUGUAGCGGUGGAAUGCGCAGAUAUCAGGAGGAACACCGGUGGCGAAGGCGAGUCUCUGGACAUUUCCUGACGCUGAGGCACGAAAGCCAGGGGAGCAAACGGG
Molecule: ribosomal RNA, 253 nt
Filed under: uncultured bacterium
Lineage: Bacteria
Description: partial 16S ribosomal RNA
Rfam family: Bacterial small subunit ribosomal RNA
Source: RNAcentral